Molecule: ribosomal RNA, 740 nt
Filed under: Brevibacterium sp. R67
Lineage: Bacteria; Bacillati; Actinomycetota; Actinomycetes; Micrococcales; Brevibacteriaceae
Description: bacterial SSU rRNA
Rfam family: Bacterial small subunit ribosomal RNA
Source: RNAcentral
CAGCGUGCGGGAUGACGGCCUUCGGGUUGUAAACCGCUUUCAGCAGGGAAGAAGCGAAAGUGACGGUACCUGCAGAAGAAGUACCGGCUAACUACGUGCCAGCAGCCGCGGUAAUACGUAGGGUACGAGCGUUGUCCGGAAUUAUUGGGCGUAAAGAGCUCGUAGGUGGUUGGUCACGUCUGCUGUGGAAACGCAACGCUUAACGUUGCGCGUGCAGUGGGUACGGGCUGACUAGAGUGCAGUAGGGGAGUCUGGAAUUCCUGGUGUAGCGGUGAAAUGCGCAGAUAUCAGGAGGAACACCGGUGGCGAAGGCGGGACUCUGGGCUGUAACUGACACUGAGGAGCGAAAGCAUGGGGAGCGAACAGGAUUAGAUACCCUGGUAGUCCAUGCCGUAAACGUUGGGCACUAGGUGUGGGGGACAUUCCACGUUCUCCGCGCCGUAGCUAACGCAUUAAGUGCCCCGCCUGGGGAGUACGGUCGCAAGGCUAAAACUCAAAGGAAUUGACGGGGGCCCGCACAAGCGGCGGAGCAUGCGGAUUAAUUCGAUGCAACGCGAAGAACCUUACCAAGGCUUGACAUACACCAGACCGGCCUGGAAACAGGUCUUCCCCUUUGGGGUUGGUGUACAGGUGGUGCAUGGUUGUCGUCAGCUCGUGUCGUGAGAUGUUGGGUUAAGUCCCGCAACGAGCGCAACCCUCGUUCUAUGUUGCCAGCACGUGAUGGUGGGAACUCAUAGGAG